Eptesicus fuscus (big brown bat) is the source of this 273-nucleotide long non-coding RNA. RefSeq lists it as uncharacterized. The record is from RefSeq and is a predicted model, not a curated record. The transcript is spliced from 3 exons. Lineage: Eukaryota; Metazoa; Chordata; Mammalia; Chiroptera; Vespertilionidae.
CAAAGGGUGAAAAAAGAAUGUCAAGUCUGCAGGAAGCACCUCCUUGAGCAGAGGCCAGGGCCACCUGGAAGCAGGUGCUCAGAGGAAGUACCUGAGUCCACUGACAAAAGUCAAUAAGAGUGACAGAGUGACACCUGAGCUGCCAUGGAAGGAGAGCUGGGCUGGGAGUUCUGGCUGGAGAGAAGAUGGUGUGUAUACAAGUACUGAGGCAUGAAAAAGGAAGCUAUAUUCAGGGAACUGCCUGGAAUUCCAUAUAAGCACAGGGCAACAUUA